Molecule: ribosomal RNA, 497 nt
Filed under: uncultured bacterium
Lineage: Bacteria
Description: partial 16S ribosomal RNA
Rfam family: Bacterial small subunit ribosomal RNA
Source: RNAcentral
GAUGAACGCUGGCGGCGUGCCUAAUACAUGCAAGUCGAGCGAACAGAUGAGGAGCUUGCUCCUCUGACGUUAGCGGCGGACGGGUGAGUAACACGUGGAUAACCUACCUAUAAGACUGGGAUAACUUCGGGAAACCGGAUCUACUACCGGAUAAUAUAUUGAACCGCAUGGUUCAAUAGUGAAAGACGGUUUUGCUGUCACUUAUAGAUGGAUCCGCGCCGCAUUAGCUAGUUGGUAAGGUAACGGCUUACCAAGGCAACGAUGCGUAGCCGACCUGAGAGGGUGAUCGGCCACACUGGAACUGAGACACGGUCCAGACUCCUACGGGAGGCAGCAGUAGGGAAUAUUCCGCAAUGGGCGAAAGCCUGACGGAGCAACGCCGCGUGAGUGAAGAAGGUCUUCGGAUCGUAAAACUCUGUUAUUAGGGAAGAACAAAUGUGUAAGUAACUAUGCACGUCUUGACGGUACCUAAUCAGAAAGCCACGGCUAACUACGUG